This 492-nucleotide ribosomal RNA is filed under the name uncultured bacterium. Its description in RNAcentral is "partial 16S ribosomal RNA". It matches the Rfam family "Bacterial small subunit ribosomal RNA", at positions 29 to 507 of the family's 1533-position model. The record is from RNAcentral.
AGUGAACGCUGGCGGUAGGCCUAACACAUGCAAGUCGAACGGCAGCACAGUAAGAGCUUGCUCUUACGGGUGGCGAGUGGCGGACGGGUGAGGAAUACAUCGGAAUCUACUUUUUCGUGGGGGAUAACGUAGGGAAACUUACGCUAAUACCGCAUACGACCUACGGGUGAAAGCAGGGGAUCUUCGGACCUUGCGCGAUUGAAUGAGCCGAUGUCGGAUUAGCUAGUUGGCGGGGUAAAGGCCCACCAAGGCGACGAUCCGUAGCUGGUCUGAGAGGAUGGUCAGCCACACUGGAACUGAGACACGGUCCAGACUCCUACGGGAGGCAGCAGUGGGGAAUAUUGGACAAUGGGAGCAAGCCUGAUCCAGCCAUACCGCGUGGGUGAAGAAGGCCUUCGGGUUGUAAAGCCCUUUUGUUGGGAAAGAAAAGCAGCAGGUUAAUACCCCGCUGUUCUGACGGUACCCAAAGAAUAAGCACCGGCUAACUUCGUG